Eriocheir sinensis (Chinese mitten crab) is the source of this 1837-nucleotide long non-coding RNA. RefSeq lists it as uncharacterized. NCBI's taxonomy places the organism in Eukaryota, Metazoa, Arthropoda, Malacostraca, Decapoda, Varunidae. The record is from RefSeq and is a predicted model, not a curated record. The transcript is spliced from 7 exons.
CUUUCUGGGAGUCCCUGUACCGAGACGAGUUACGAGUCUUCAGCUAUUCUUAUGCUAAAUGCCUGCUCCUCCUCCUCCUCCUCCUCCUCCUCUUAACAUCCGAGAACCCUUCAGAGUAUCGUGUAUGUACUUAAUGCACCGACAACCAAUCAGCUUGACGUGGGGAGGGAGUGGGAGGGCAUACCAUCCUAUUAAGUUUCUCGUUUGAUUAUUUGAAUUAGCCACGUCUUCAAACACUACGUCAGUACAUAAAUCAACUUCGACGAUUGGUAAUGCAUGUUUGUGUCUCAUUUUUGCUAUAAUGUUCCGUGUGUUGUUGAAAGACGAUGGAAAUGCAGUGCGCUUUCGACACAUAUUACAGCGAGUCACAAAGAGAAGAGAGAGAGGAAAACGAGUGAAACUGGACGAAAAGGUGAAAGAGUUGAGAAGAGGAGGAAGAGGACGACUGAACGACAAGGAAGCGAGACAGGAGCGCCGCGCAAGCUCCAAAUCACAAGUCGAGUGAAGCUUCGAGUGCAGUUCCAAAUGUCACUUGAGAGAACAUUAAACUACCUUAUCCAACACUCGAAUGCAAGAUAAACCAUGGAAACAAGUGCUGCUACAAAUACGACUUUUUAGAAUGCUGCCACCCCAUCACACAAUACCCAAUCCUAGCAACAAGGCGGAGAAGAAAAUAAAAAAGAAAAACACGACGCCAAUCUACUCGAGUCACUGCUUCACGCCUCCUGCAGUGCUGCCCGUGGCCUGUCAUCCUCCAGCCGCCGGCCAGACCACAUUCCUGCCCCGGCCACGUACAUGCUACACAUCAUUAUACACGUUAAAUCCCAACCCUGCGUCCCUUCCAAGCCGCCGCAACCGCUGACGCCAGGACGAGGAACGAGAGGAGACGAGGAGGAGCACGGACCAGUGAGUGAGCAAGGGGGAGGCGUGGGAGGCGGAGAGGAGGAGCUGCCGUCACCACGCCGCCCCUUCCCUAACACGGUGAUGGGCGGGAGAUGGAAAGUCCAGCACCACCCACACCCACACCCACACCCAGAGCACGGACCAUCCCAUGUGACCCUUGCAAUGACCCGUUCUUCCGUAAUACUAUCAACGCUGAGCCUUGCAUCACGUCUCUAUCGCCUCGCACACUAAGGACCUCUAGGAAAGGCCGCGGACUGAUUACUGAUGGAACAGGAAACAUUAAUACAUGACUCGCUGCUGCCUGGACCAAGAUCGUAACAUGUCCUCAUUCUGGAAGCUGUGUGUCCGCUCCGUCCUGCUCAGUCCGGCCGCUACAAUAUAGAAGCUGACGUUGAAAGUUACUGUCUUUACUGAUCUGACGCUGAACACUGACGUUUGCUGCCGAGGCACUGGAUGCAGCUACAGCAGUGGUGGAGGCUGCAGUGGUAGAAGUUGUAGAGGAAGUGAAGGAGGGAGAGGAUGAGGAGCCAGUGCGUUCCUUCAGGGAGGAUAUGGACGUAAGGGUCUUUUGGAACCAAGUGUUCUUGGUGGCCUGAAGCUCCCUCACAGCAGUGGCCAGCUGGUGUGUCAAGUCCUGAAGGUGCCCAUAUAUCGACCUGGGAAGGCGGUGGCUGAGGUUAAUGUCUCACCCGCCGCUACAAGCUGACAAUAUUCAGUCAUUGCCGAGUAGCCCAAAUGCUGUCCUGAUGACCACCGAUCAACCUGGACUAUAGCAAAACUCUCUCAAGAGGAUCAGAUUCCACAAGGGCCAGUUUGGUCUUGGCCAGCUCCAGCUCCAGCUCCCGCACCUGCUGCUGCAGCCGGGUGACUGCUGGGGACUCCUCCAGCCCCACCUCGGUUGGGGGUCCACACACGGGGGAGAGCAAGGCACUGC